Molecule: ribosomal RNA, 253 nt
Filed under: uncultured bacterium
Lineage: Bacteria
Description: partial 16S ribosomal RNA
Rfam family: Bacterial small subunit ribosomal RNA
Source: RNAcentral
UACGUAGGCAGCGAGCGUUGUUCGGAGUUACUGGGCGUAAAGGGUGUGUAGGCGGUUUUCUAAGUUUGGUGUGAAAUCUCCCGGCUUAACCGGGAGGGUGCGCCGAAAACUGGGAGACUAGAGUGCGGGAUGGGAGAGUAGAAUUCCUGGUGUAGCGGUGAAAUGCGUAGAUAUCUGGAGGAACACCGGUGGCGAAGGCGGCAUCCUGGACCGGUAUUGACGCUGAGGCGCGAAAGCCAGGGGAGCAAACGGG